RNAcentral lists this long non-coding RNA (700 nucleotides) under Homo sapiens (human). RNAcentral describes it as "non-protein coding lnc-TUBGCP3-13:2". Lineage: Eukaryota; Metazoa; Chordata; Mammalia; Primates; Hominidae. The record is from RNAcentral.
GGCUGCUGCCUUCCCUUUCCGUGCUGUGCGUAGCCUCCUCUUCUCUGACCGCUACCCCGCACCCCCUCUCAUUUCCUCCCUACUUUCCAUGGGGUCUCACUUUAUUUGGAUGACUUUCUGGGGAAGUUGGGUGGGUACCCAAAAACAGAGGCAUUUUCAGCAUGGAAAAAGCCCUUAAAACUAACACUUCAGUUCAUUUGAAUAAAAAAAUCCCCAAAGAUAUCAAAGGCUCUGAAAUGAUAUCAUCUACCUAAAUAUGACGCUUAGAAAAUCUGUGGGGAUGAUGCCUAGAAGCCCUCUAGAAACGCCGCUGUGGACAAGGGCACCCCAACUGUACUAGUGAAAAGUCAGCACAAAAGUAGAUUAACGAGCAAGAGAGUGAGGAAUUAAUGCCUUUCUUGCUAUGUUUCACAGCACACUUAAUUGCCCUUCAAAUUCUUCCUUCACAGCCAUCAGCCUGUAAGCUGGAUCUGGGAGGCUUUGUUUCUGGAGACUUCUGCUUUCUUUGGAAGGCAGGCUCAAACCUGAUCCUCUAUACAACGGUCCCGAGUUAAAUCUGGCCAGUCUGAAAAGCCAGCCAUGCUGGCGAGUGCAUGAAAAUCCUGCUUCAAAGGCAGAGAGCCGGGCUCCACGCGACAUUCCGCACCUUCCUCAGGGUGGCUUCUCCUUCUCCCUGGCCUCGUACCCUAGAACUUAAAGU